GAGGGUAUAGUUCAGUUGUAGAGUGUGUGCUUGGCAUGCACAAGGUCCUGGGUUCAAUCCCUGGUACCUCCA
Molecule: transfer RNA, 72 nt
Filed under: Camelus bactrianus (Bactrian camel)
Lineage: Eukaryota; Metazoa; Chordata; Mammalia; Artiodactyla; Camelidae
Also listed under: 2 other names
Rfam family: tRNA
About the family: Transfer RNA (tRNA) molecules are approximately 80 nucleotides in length. Their secondary structure includes four short double-helical elements and three loops (D, anti-codon, and T loops).
Source: Rfam by way of RNAcentral